Molecule: ribosomal RNA, 253 nt
Filed under: uncultured bacterium
Lineage: Bacteria
Description: partial 16S ribosomal RNA
Rfam family: Bacterial small subunit ribosomal RNA
Source: RNAcentral
UACGUAGGGACCAAGCGUUGUUCGGAUUUACUGGGCGUAAAGGGCGCGUAGGCGGCAUGACAAGUCACUUGUGAAAUCUCUGGGCUUAACUCAGAACGGCCAAGUGAUACUGUCGCGCUAGAGUGCAGAAAGGGCAAUCGGAAUUCUUGGUGUAGCGGUGAAAUGCGUAGAUAUCAAGAGGAACACCUGAGGCGAAGGCGGGUUGCUAGGCUGACACUGACGCUGAGGCGCGAAAGCCAGGGGAGCAAACGGG